UUUUCAGCAAAGCUGCUGUUAGCAAAAACAGCAUCUGUGAGUCAGUGGAUCAGAGAUAAGAAGGCUGCUUCUUCCCCCACUUUUUAAUAAACACUAGUGAAAGUUAUAUUAUGUUUUGUAAAAGAAUAAACACUUGAAAAGAGAAGCCUGUCUGAAGACACAUUCCUUCAUUUAGCACUUUUGCAUUUCAAUAAAAAGUGUGCAUGCAGAAACAUCCCAGGGUUAAAAACACAGCGAACCUAUUUAUGAAAGUAAUUUGUAAUGAUAAAAGAGUUUUCCCCUAUGUGUUAGACUAACAUUGGUCAUUUUUUGGUUAGGACAAUUUGAAGCAGCAUGCUUCUUCAGCAAAGCCCCUGUUAGCAAAAACAGCCUUUGUGAGCCAGUGGAUCAGAGGUAAGAUAAGAUAAGGAGGAGCUUCUAUUUAAACAGGUCUGAUGAUGAAAGAUGGCUGCACCUAGAAGGUCCUGGCCAACACCGGCAGUCCAGCCUCUCAUGAAGAGACGUUAUACGGUCAGUGCUAUGGGACCUGAAGAGUGUUUGAGAUGGGUCAUGGGAGCGGGGAAACAGGGAUAGCUAAUGAUGCCUGUACCCACAAGAACGACACGGUGGAGAAACAUGAGGCCAGACCGCUGGGCCAAGAUUUGUUUGAGACUCCGGACCCUGGCCAGGAGAGCCCAAACGAAUCAAACAAGGCGCUGUACAGACAUGAGGCCCAGCACCUGAGCGAUGGUUCUUCGGAGGACUUGGCAGUUCUGGACACCGACAGCUCCGAAGGGCUGAGUGGAUUGGGCCCAAUCUGUUUUGGCCCAGACCCAAAACCAGAUGCUCAACAGAAUGCCGAAGCAAGGGGGGUGCUUAUUCUAUAGGCCUAUACGAUCUAAAGUUGAGGGAGAAAUUUGGUAUUAAGCCUGUGCAAGUUCAUAACCUAAAACCAUGAUGUGUGCAAUUGUGCGAGCAGCUGUGCACAGAAUCAUCAAGCACUGCCUGAGAGAGAAACAAAAUGAAGAUUGUCCUGGGUGCGCUAUAGAUUCCCCCAGUCAGAAGCAUCACGACUGUAAACUGUAAAAUUAAAGAAAUUAGCAGUAGUUUGUGCCUGGAGAGUGUGUUAAAUAUCACCAUCACGUUGGGAUACGCACUGCAGUGCCUCUAUUUAACCCAGGAACAUUUAGCUCUAGGGGAAGAAUUGGUGUAGAAAGUGACAGAGGCCAAGGACCCAAAUAGCAUUUUAGAUGAAAUCAUCAAACCGACAGAUAAAGACGGAAAAGUCCUCAGAAGUGAUAAACAAAAUCUGGACAGAACUGGUUUUUACCGCCUUUUCCACAAGGUUUCCCAAAAGGGGUUUUCUGCUCCUUCUAUGGGGUUUCUCAGGCCAGAUUAUAUAAGUCUGCCCCGAGCACUGCUCAGCUGCUGCCCAUCCGAGUGACAGUGAGGGUCUGACUUGCACUCACCUCCCCAUCCUAAUGGUAGAGGAGGCUCAGGUUUUCCUUCCACAGCUCUGCUUCUACUUUGUCAUCACCUGCAAGGAGAAGAGACGUACAGACAGCCACAUCCCACUUACCAUCACCCAACUUCAGCUGCUAUUCCCCGAUGGACCAUCUGCUCUUCUACAGACCCAAAGAAACAUCAAGGGACUCCCUGGAGCUCCUCUCCAACGGCUUUCAACUAGCCAGAGGAUUGAGGUCUCAGGCAACAAUCGACUCUUGAUCUAUAGAAGGAGAUUUCUAUUAAGGGGUUUAGUUACUUGUUUAUAGGGUUUAUUUUGGGAAAAUCACAGUCUUACAUAAUUUUAAGGUUUACUCCCUCCUUUUCUUUGCCCCAUUCAUUGUACACCAAUCCCUCAAUACACUUCAUUUGUCUUUCAC
This is a long non-coding RNA of Chelonoidis abingdonii (Abingdon island giant tortoise), 1862 nucleotides long. RefSeq lists it as uncharacterized. The record is from RefSeq and is a predicted model, not a curated record. NCBI's taxonomy places the organism in Eukaryota, Metazoa, Chordata, Testudines, Testudinidae.